Molecule: ribosomal RNA, 406 nt
Filed under: uncultured bacterium
Lineage: Bacteria
Description: partial 16S ribosomal RNA
Rfam family: Bacterial small subunit ribosomal RNA
Source: RNAcentral
AUUGAACGCUGGCGGCAGGCCUAACACAUGCAAGUCGAACGAGUGGCGGACGGGUGAGUAAUGUCUGGGAAACUGCCUGAUGGAGGGGGAUAACUACUGGAAACGGUAGCUAAUACCGCAUACCAUCAGAUGUGCCCAGAUGGGAUUAGCUUGUGGGUGGGGGAACGGCUAACCACGGCGACGAUCACUAGCUGGUCUGAGAGGAUGACCAGCCACACUGGACCUGAGACACGGCCCAAACUCCUACGGGAGGCAGCAGUGGGGAAUAUUGCACAAUGGGCGCAAGCCUGAUGCAGCCAUGCCGCGUGUAUGAUGAAGGCCUUCGGGUUGUAAAGUACUUUCAGCGGGGAGGCGUUACCCACAGAGGAAGCACCGGCUAACUCCGUGCCAGCCGCCGCGGUAAUAC